AUUCCAGCUCCAAUAGCGUAUAUUAAAGUUGUUGCAGUUAAAAAGCUCGUAUUUGAAUUUCUGGCCCGAGUAGCCGGUCUGGCCCGAAUGGGCUAGUACUUCGUGUUGUCUCGGGCUUUUCUUUGGGAGAGCUUGUUUGGCAUUAACUUGUCGGGCAAGGGACCCCAAUCGUUUACUGUGAAAAAAUUAGAGUGUUUAAAGCAGGCAUUUGCUGUGAAUACAUUAGCAUGGAAUAAUAAGAUAGGACUUUGGUGCUAUUUUGUUGGUUUGCACACCAAGGUAAUGAUUAACAGGGACAGUUGGGGGUAUUCGUAUUUAAUUGUCAGAGGUGAAAUUCUUGGAUUUAUGAAAGACGAACUACUGCGAAAGCAUUUACCAAGGAUGUUUUCAUCA
Molecule: ribosomal RNA, 393 nt
Filed under: Labyrinthulaceae sp.
Lineage: Eukaryota; Bigyra; Labyrinthulida; Labyrinthulaceae
Description: partial small subunit ribosomal RNA
Rfam family: Eukaryotic small subunit ribosomal RNA
Source: RNAcentral